UGGGGAAUUUUGCGCAAUGGGGGAAACCCUGACGCAGCAACGCCGCGUGGAGGAUGAAAUCCCUUGGGAUGUAAACUCCUUUCGAUAGGGAAGAUAAUGACGGUACCUAUAGAAGAAGCCCCGGCUAACUUCGUGCCAGCAGCCGCGGUAAUACGAGGGGGGCAAGCGUUGUUCGGAAUUAUUGGGCGUAAAGGGCGCGUAGGCGGUUUGACAAGUCUCAUGUGAAAUCUUCGGGCUCAACCCGAAGCCUGCAUGGGAAACUGUCGGGCUUGAGUAUGGGAGAGGUGAGUGGAAUUUCCGGUGUAGCGGUGAAAUGCGUAGAUAUCGGAAGGAACACCUGUGGCGAAAGCGGCUCACUGGACCAUAACUGACGCUGAGGCGCGAAAGCUAGGGGAGCAAACA
This 402-nucleotide ribosomal RNA is filed under the name uncultured Acidobacteriota bacterium. RNAcentral describes it as "bacterial SSU rRNA". It matches the Rfam family "Bacterial small subunit ribosomal RNA", at positions 355 to 774 of the family's 1533-position model. Lineage: Bacteria; Pseudomonadati; Acidobacteriota. The record is from RNAcentral.